This 130-nucleotide small nuclear RNA is filed under the name Cavia porcellus (domestic guinea pig). Its description in RNAcentral is "U4 spliceosomal RNA (ENSCPOG00000028861.2)". Lineage: Eukaryota; Metazoa; Chordata; Mammalia; Rodentia; Caviidae. The record is from RNAcentral.
AGCUUUGUGCAGUGACAGUAUCAUAGCCAAUGAAGCUUAUCCAAGAUACAAUUAUUGCUAAUUAAAAAGCUUUGAGGAUUCUCUUCAGACUGAAAGGCAGUAUCACCUUUGUUGGCCUGGUAACUGUGCU